This is a long non-coding RNA of Arabidopsis thaliana (thale cress), 375 nucleotides long. RefSeq annotates it as other RNA. The transcript has a single exon. The record is from RefSeq. NCBI's taxonomy places the organism in Eukaryota, Viridiplantae, Streptophyta, Magnoliopsida, Brassicales, Brassicaceae.
GAUUUUCGGGCUUCUGCAAAAGGAAAUCAUAUUCAGACGCUAACAUAAAAGACAUGUCAUGAAUGAAUCCAAACCAUCAGAAGAUGUAAAGAUCUAUAUCAUCAUCAAUAUGCCAAGACCUAAAGCUAACUAACAUCCAUCACUCAUCUUAAACCUAAACAGGUAUACUAUUCCAGCACAUAAGCAAAAGGCACCCAAGGCUUGCUAACACGAAAACACUGCAUUUAUCACUCUUUCGCAUUUGCGAUAUUCCAAGCCAUCUUUCUAACCAUAUAACUAAUCACUUUUACACUACACACUAAUCACAAAGAGAAAUAAUUUCUGGAACGGUUGAAGAAAAAGGUAGGCUACCUCGUCAAUGUCAUCAAUAUCGAC